This 253-nucleotide ribosomal RNA is filed under the name uncultured bacterium. RNAcentral describes it as "partial 16S ribosomal RNA". It matches the Rfam family "Bacterial small subunit ribosomal RNA", at positions 524 to 776 of the family's 1533-position model. The record is from RNAcentral.
UACGUAGGGUGCAAGCGUUGUCCGGAAUUAUUGGGCGUAAAGAGCUCGUAGGCGGUUUGUCGCGUCUGCUGUGAAAACUCGGGGCUUAACUCCGGGCCUGCAGUGGGUACGGGCAGACUAGAGUGCGGUAGGGGAGACUGGAAUUCCUGGUGUAGCGGUGAAAUGCGCAGAUAUCAGGAGGAACACCGGUGGCGAAGGCGGAUCUCUGGGCCGUAACUGACGCUGAGGAGCGAAAGCAUGGGGAGCGAACAGG